Molecule: microRNA precursor, 143 nt
Filed under: Gossypium hirsutum (cotton)
Lineage: Eukaryota; Viridiplantae; Streptophyta; Magnoliopsida; Malvales; Malvaceae
Also listed under: 1 other name
Description: MIR7502 microRNA precursor family
Rfam family: MIR7502 microRNA precursor family
Source: Rfam by way of RNAcentral
UGUUAAAAAUUGCAUCUAUUUGUAAUGUUAAAAUUGACAUGACUAACGAAAUAACCAUAUAGUGACACGUGACGUGUCACGUGUACCCAUGCUGGCAUACAGAGACUAGUUUUUAAAAAUAAAAAUGUAUGAAAUCUUUAAUA